This 292-nucleotide ribosomal RNA is filed under the name uncultured bacterium. RNAcentral describes it as "partial 16S ribosomal RNA". It matches the Rfam family "Bacterial small subunit ribosomal RNA", at positions 505 to 796 of the family's 1533-position model. The record is from RNAcentral.
GUGUCAGCAGCCGCGGUAACACGUAGGGCGCAAGCGUUGUCCGGAAUUAUUGGGCGUAAAGAGCUCGUAGGCGGUCUGUUGCGUCCGCUGUGAAAACUCGGGGCUUAACCCCGAGCCUGCAGUGGAUACGGGCAGACUAGAGGUAGGUAGGGGAGAAUGGAAUUCCCGGUGUAGCGGUGAAAUGCGCAGAUAUCGGGAGGAACACCGGUGGCGAAGGCGGUUCUCUGGGCCUUACCUGACGCUGAGGAGCGAAAGCGUGGGGAGCGAACAGGAUUAGAAACCCUUGUAGUCC